CACGUAGGGCGCAAGCGUUGUCCGGAAUUAUUGGGCGUAAAGAGCUCGUAGGCGGUCUGUUACGUCUGCUGUGAAAACCCAGGGCUUAACCCUUGGCUUGCAGUGGAUACGGGCAGACUAGAGGUAGGUAGGGGAGAAUGGAAUUCCCGGUGUAGCGGUGAAAUGCGCAGAUAUCGGGAGGAACACCGGUGGCGAAGGCGGUUCUCUGGGCCUUACCUGACGCUGAGGAGCGAAAGCGUGGGGAGCGAACAGG
RNAcentral lists this ribosomal RNA (253 nucleotides) under uncultured bacterium. Its description in RNAcentral is "partial 16S ribosomal RNA". It matches the Rfam family "Bacterial small subunit ribosomal RNA", at positions 524 to 776 of the family's 1533-position model. The record is from RNAcentral.